Molecule: unclassified non-coding RNA, 252 nt
Filed under: Hevea brasiliensis (rubber tree)
Lineage: Eukaryota; Viridiplantae; Streptophyta; Magnoliopsida; Malpighiales; Euphorbiaceae
Source: RNAcentral
UGCAUGCCGCAUCUGCAAAUUAUAAUAUUACUAAAGACAAGGAUGCCUAAACACGCUUUAAGGGAAGGAUGGUUACAGGAAUAUAAUGCAAUAAUUUAGCAUGAGAAUACAAAUAUUAGCCAGUUGAGAUCACAAGUUAAGAGAAGAAAUUUAAUCAACCAAAACAGAGAAAUCAAUGAGGAUUACUCUACCGGUCCAUCCAACAACUUUGGAUACUACCCAUAUGUUGAACUGUAUGAUACUAAGUUAAAA